This 1339-nucleotide ribosomal RNA is filed under the name metagenome. RNAcentral describes it as "bacterial SSU rRNA". It matches the Rfam family "Bacterial small subunit ribosomal RNA", at positions 148 to 1498 of the family's 1533-position model. The record is from RNAcentral.
CAGGUGAAAACCUGGGCAAUACCGGAUGUGACAGAAGAUUGGCAUCUUUCUUCUAUCAAAGGAGCAAUUCGCUUCAGGAACGGUUCAUGACUCAUCAGCUAGUUGGUGGGGUAAAGGCCUACCAAGGCUACGACGGGUAGGGGGUCUGAGAGGAUGAUCCCCCCGAGAGGGACUGAGACACGGCCCUCACACCUACGGGUGGCAGCCGUUAGGAAUCGUUGUCAAUGGGGGAAACCCUGAACACGCGACGCCGCGUGGAGGAUGAAGGAUCUAGGUCUGUAAACUCCUUUUACCAGGAAAGACUUAGGACGGUACCUGGUGAAUAAGCUCCGGCUAACUACGUGCCAGCAGCCGCGGUGAUACGUAGGGAGCAAGCGUUGUCCGGAUUUACUGGGCGUAAAGGGCGCGUAGGCGGCUCAUUAAGUGUGUGGUGAAAUCUCUGUGCUCAACGCAGAAAUGGCCACGCAUACUGGCGAGCUUGAGGGACGUAGAGGUGAAUAGAAUUUCUGGUGUAGCGGUGACAUGCGAUCAUAUCAGAAGGAAUACCAAUGGCGAAGGCAGUUCACUGGACGUCUCCUGACGCUGAGGCGCGAAAGCGUGGGUAGCAAACAGAAUUAGAUACUCUAGUAGUCCACGCCCUAAACGAUGGAUGCUAGGCGUUGGGGGUAUCGACCCCUCCAGUGCCGCAGCUAACGCAUUAAGCAUCCCGCCUGGGGAGUACGGCCGCAAGGUUGAAACUCAAAUGAAUUGACGGGACCCCGCACAAGCGGUGGAGCAUGUGGAUUAAUACGAUACUAACCGUAGAACCUUACCCAGGUUUGACAUCGCGGGAAAGCCUGUGAAAGCAGGCCCUCCUCCACAAGAGGACCCAAAGACACCUGUUGCAUGGCUGUCGUCAGCUCGUGCCGUGAGGUGUUUGGUUAAGUCCAGCAACGAGCGCAACCCUCGUCUUAUGUUGCCAGCGGGUAAUGCCGGGAACUCAUGAGAGACUGCCUGUGUAAGCAGGAGGAAGGUGGGGAUGACGUCAAGUCAGCAUGGCGGUUACGCCUGGGGCUUCACACAUGCUACAAUGGGCGAAACAGAGCGCAGCAAUACCGCGAGGUGGAGCUAAUCGCAAAAAUACGUCCUCAGUUCAGAUUGCAGUCUGCAACUCGACUGCAUGAAGGCGGAAUCGCUAGUAAACGCAGAUCAGCUAUGCUGCGUUGAAUACGUUCCCGGGGUUUGUACACACCGCCCGUCAAGUCACCCGAGUCGUUUUCACCCGAAGUCCGUGGCCCAACCGAAAGGAGGGAGCGGCCGAAGGUGGGGGGGGCGAGGGGGACUAAGUCGUAACAAGGUA